GUGCUUGCUUUGACAGCACAUACACUAAAAUUGGAGUGAUACAGAGAUUAGCUUGGCCACUGCACAGGGAUGACACGCAAAUUCGCGAAGCGUUCCAUAUCUUU
Molecule: small nuclear RNA, 104 nt
Organism: Delphinapterus leucas (beluga whale)
Lineage: Eukaryota; Metazoa; Chordata; Mammalia; Artiodactyla; Monodontidae
Source: Ensembl